AUUGAACGCUGGCGGCAGGCCUAACACAUGCAAGUCGAACGAGUGGCGGACGGGUGAGUAAUGUCUGGGAAACUGCCCGAUGGAGGGGGAUAACUACUGGAAACGGUAGCUAAUACCGCAUACCAUCGGAUGUGCCCAGAUGGGAUUCGCUAGUAGGUGGGGUAACGGCUCACCUAGGCUACGAUCCCUAACUGGUCUGAGAGGAUGACCAGCCACUCUGUAACUGAGACACGGUCCAGACUCCUACGAGAGGCCUCGUUGGUGAAUAUUUCACAAUGGGCGCAUGCCUGAUGCAGCCAUUCCGCGUGUGUGAAGAGGGCCUUCGGGUUGUAAAGUACUUUCAGCGGGGAGGCGUUACCCGCAGAAGAAGCACCGGCUAACUCCGUGCCAGCAGCCGCGGUAAUUC
RNAcentral lists this ribosomal RNA (406 nucleotides) under uncultured bacterium. Its description in RNAcentral is "partial 16S ribosomal RNA". It matches the Rfam family "Bacterial small subunit ribosomal RNA", at positions 30 to 526 of the family's 1533-position model. The record is from RNAcentral.